AACGAACGCUGGCGGCAUGCCUAACACAUGCAAGUCGAACGAGAUCUUCGGGUCUAGUGGCGCACGGGUGCGUAACGCGUGGGAAUCUGCCCUUUGGUUCGGAAUAACAGCUGGAAACGACUGCUAAUACCGGAUGAUGACGAAAGUCCAAAGAUUUAUCGCCAGAGGAUGAGCCCGCGUAGGAUUAGCUAGUUGGUGUGGUAAAGGCGCACCAAGGCGACGAUCCUUAGCUGGUCUGAGAGGAUGAUCAGCCACACUGGGACUGAGACACGGCCCAGACUCCUACGGGAGGAAGCAGUGGGGAAUAUUGGACAAUGGGCGAAAGCCUGAUCCAGCAAUGCCGCGUGAGUGACGAAGGCCUUAGGGUUGUAAAGCUCUUUUACCCGGGAUGAUAAUGACAGUACCGGGAGAAUAAGCUCCGGCUAACUCCGUGCCAGCCGCCGCCGUAA
This 449-nucleotide ribosomal RNA is filed under the name uncultured bacterium. RNAcentral describes it as "partial 16S ribosomal RNA". It matches the Rfam family "Bacterial small subunit ribosomal RNA", at positions 29 to 523 of the family's 1533-position model. The record is from RNAcentral.